GGUUAAGCGACUAAGCGUACACGGUGGAUGCCCUGGCAGUCAGAGGCGAUGAAGGACGUGCUAAUCUGCGAUAAGCGUCGGUAAGGUGAUAUGAACCGUUAUAACCGGCGAUUUCCGAAUGGGGAAACCCAGUGUGAUUCGUCACACUAUCAUUAACUGAAUCCAUAGGUUAAUGAGGCGAACCGGGGGAACUGAAACAUCUAAGUACCCCGAGGAAAAGAAAUCAACCGAGAUUCCCCCAGUAGCGGCGAGCGAACGGGGAGCAGCCCAGAGCCUGAAUCAGUGUGUGUGUUAGUGGAAGCGUCUGGAAAGGCGCGCGAUACAGGGUGACAGCCCCGUACACAAAAAUGCACAUGCUGUGAGCUCGAUGAGUAGGGCGGGACACGUGGUAUCCUGUCUGAAUAUGGGGGGACCAUCCUCCAAGGCUAAAUACUCCUGACUGACCGAUAGUGAACCAGUACCGUGAGGGAAAGGCGAAAAGAACCCCGGCGAGGGGAGUGAAAAAGAACCUGAAACCGUGUACGUACAAGCAGUGGGAGCCUCUUUUAUGGGGUGACUGCGUACCUUUUGUAUAAUGGGUCAGCGACUUAUAUUCUGUAGCAAGGUUAACCGAAUAGGGGAGCCGAAGGGAAACCGAGUCUUAACUGGGCGUUAAGUUGCAGGGUAUAGACCCGAAACCCGGUGAUCUAGCCAUGGGCAGGUUGAAGGUUGGGUAACACUAACUGGAGGACCGAACCGACUAAUGUUGAAAAAUUAGCGGAUGACUUGUGGCUGGGGGUGAAAGGCCAAUCAAACCGGGAGAUAGCUGGUUCUCCCCGAAAGCUAUUUAGGUAGCGCCUCGUGAAUUCAUCUCCGGGGGUAGAGCACUGUUUCGGCAAGGGGGUCAUCCCGACUUACCAACCCGAUGCAAACUGCGAAUACCGGAGAAUGUUAUCACGGGAGACACACGGCGGGUGCUAACGUCCGUCGUGAAGAGGGAAACAACCCAGACCGCCAGCUAAGGUCCCAAAGUCAUGGUUAAGUGGGAAACGAUGUGGGAAGGCCCAGACAGCCAGGAUGUUGGCUUAGAAGCAGCCAUCAUUUAAAGAAAGCGUAAUAGCUCACUGGUCGAGUCGGCCUGCGCGGAAGAUGUAACGGGGCUAAACCAUGCACCGAAGCUGCGGCAGCGACGCUGAUGCGUUGUUGGGUAGGGGAGCGUUCUGUAAGCCUGUGAAGGUGUGCUGUGAGGCAUGCUGGAGGUAUCAGAAGUGCGAAUGCUGACAUAAGUAACGAUAAAGCGGGUGAAAAGCCCGCUCGCCGGAAGACCAAGGGUUCCUGUCCAACGUUAAUCGGGGCAGGGUGAGUCGACCCCUAAGGCGAGGCCGAAAGGCGUAGUCGAUGGGAAACAGGUUAAUAUUCCUGUACUUGGUGUUACUGCGAAGGGGGGACGGAGAAGGCUAUGUUGGCCGGGCGACGGUUGUCCCGGUUUAAGCGUGUAGGCUGGUUUUCCAGGCAAAUCCGGAAAAUCAAGGCUGAGGCGUGAUGACGAGGCACUACGGUGCUGAAGCAACAAAUGCCCUGCUUCCAGGAAAAGCCUCUAAGCAUCAGGUAACAUCAAAUCGUACCCCAAACCGACACAGGUGGUCAGGUAGAGAAUACCAAGGCGCUUGAGAGAACUCGGGUGAAGGAACUAGGCAAAAUGGUGCCGUAACUUCGGGAGAAGGCACGCUGAUAUGUAGGUGAAGUCCCUCGCGGAUGGAGCUGAAAUCAGUCGAAGAUACCAGCUGGCUGCAACUGUUUAUUAAAAACACAGCACUGUGCAAACACGAAAGUGGACGUAUACGGUGUGACGCCUGCCCGGUGCCGGAAGGUUAAUUGAUGGGGUCAGCGCAAGCGAAGCUCUUGAUCGAAGCCCCGGUAAACGGCGGCCGUAACUAUAACGGUCCUAAGGUAGCGAAAUUCCUUGUCGGGUAAGUUCCGACCUGCACGAAUGGCGUAAUGAUGGCCAGGCUGUCUCCACCCGAGACUCAGUGAAAUUGAACUCGCUGUGAAGAUGCAGUGUACCCGCGGCAAGACGGAAAGACCCCGUGAACCUUUACUAUAGCUUGACACUGAACAUUGAGCCUUGAUGUGUAGGAUAGGUGGGAGGCUUUGAAGUGUGGACGCCAGUCUGCAUGGAGCCGACCUUGAAAUACCACCCUUUAAUGUUUGAUGUUCUAACGUUGACCCGUAAUCCGGGUUGCGGACAGUGUCUGGUGGGUAGUUUGACUGGGGCGGUCUCCUCCUAAAGAGUAACGGAGGAGCACGAAGGUUGGCUAAUCCUGGUCGGACAUCAGGAGGUUAGUGCAAUGGCAUAAGCCAGCUUGACUGCGAGCGUGACGGCGCGAGCAGGUGCGAAAGCAGGUCAUAGUGAUCCGGUGGUUCUGAAUGGAAGGGCCAUCGCUCAACGGAUAAAAGGUACUCCGGGGAUAACAGGCUGAUACCGCCCAAGAGUUCAUAUCGACGGCGGUGUUUGGCACCUCGAUGUCGGCUCAUCACAUCCUGGGGCUGAAGUAGGUCCCAAGGGUAUGGCUGUUCGCCAUUUAAAGUGGUACGCGAGCUGGGUUUAGAACGUCGUGAGACAGUUCGGUCCCUAUCUGCCGUGGGCGCUGGAGAACUGAGGGGGGCUGCUCCUAGUACGAGAGGACCGGAGUGGACGCAUCACUGGUGUUCGGGUUGUCAUGCCAAUGGCACUGCCCGGUAGCUAAAUGCGGAAGAGAUAAGUGCUGAAAGCAUCUAAGCACGAAACUUGCCCCGAGAUGAGUUCUCCCUGAC
Molecule: ribosomal RNA, 2793 nt
Filed under: Escherichia coli
Lineage: Bacteria; Pseudomonadati; Pseudomonadota; Gammaproteobacteria; Enterobacterales; Enterobacteriaceae
Description: partial 23S ribosomal RNA
Rfam family: Bacterial large subunit ribosomal RNA
Source: RNAcentral